UGAGGAACAUGACCUUCGGCGGGGGAUAGCCGGCCCAACGGCCGGGUAAUACCGCGUACGACCACAUGGGGACACCCCUGAGUGGUGAAAGCAGCAAUGCGCCGAUGGAGUGCCUCGCGGCCUAUCAGCUAGUUGGUGAGGUAACGGCUCACCAAGGCGACGACGGGUAGCUGGUCUGAGAGGAUGGCCAGCCACAUUGGGACUGAGACACGGCCCAGACUCCGUAGGGACGG
RNAcentral lists this ribosomal RNA (233 nucleotides) under uncultured bacterium. RNAcentral describes it as "partial 16S ribosomal RNA". It matches the Rfam family "Bacterial small subunit ribosomal RNA", at positions 118 to 348 of the family's 1533-position model. The record is from RNAcentral.